RNAcentral lists this ribosomal RNA (561 nucleotides) under uncultured Alcaligenes sp. Its description in RNAcentral is "bacterial SSU rRNA". It matches the Rfam family "Bacterial small subunit ribosomal RNA", at positions 896 to 1460 of the family's 1533-position model. The record is from RNAcentral. Lineage: Bacteria; Pseudomonadati; Pseudomonadota; Betaproteobacteria; Burkholderiales; Alcaligenaceae.
GAAACUCAAAGGAAUUGACGGGGACCCGCACAAGCAGCGGAGCAUGUGGUUUAAUUUCGAAGCAACGCGAAGAACCUUACCAGGACUUGACAUGCCAUUGACCGGUGUAGAGAUACACCUUUAACCUUCGGGUUACAAUGGACACAGGUGGUGCAUGGUUGUCGUCAGCUCGUGUCGUGAGAUGUUGGGUUAAGUCCCGCAACGAGCGCAACCCUUGUCAUUUAGUUGCUACGCAAGAGCACUCUAAUGAGACUGCCGGUGACAAACCGGAGGAAGGUGGGGAUGACGUCAAGUCCUCAUGGCCCUUAUGGGUAGGGCUUCACACGCCAUACAAUGGUCGGGACAGAGGGUCGCCAACCCGCGAGGAGGAGCCAAUCUCAGAAACCCGAUCGUAGUCCGGAUCGCAGUCUGCAACUCGACUGCGUGAAGUCGGAAUCGCUAGUAAUCGCGGAUCAGAAUGUCGCGGUGAAUACGUUCCCGGGUCUUGUACACACCGCCCGUCACACCAUGGGAGUGGGUUCACCAGAAGUAGGUAGCCUAACCGUAGGAGGGCGCUACCAC